This 2101-nucleotide ribosomal RNA is filed under the name Salmonella enterica subsp. enterica serovar Muenchen. Its description in RNAcentral is "partial 23S ribosomal RNA". It matches the Rfam family "Bacterial large subunit ribosomal RNA", at positions 1 to 2116 of the family's 2925-position model. The record is from RNAcentral. Lineage: Bacteria; Pseudomonadati; Pseudomonadota; Gammaproteobacteria; Enterobacterales; Enterobacteriaceae.
GGGUUGUGAGGUUAAGCGACUAAGCGUACACGGUGGAUGCCCUGGCAGUCAGAGGCGAUGAAGGGCGUGCUAAUCUGCGAUAAGCGCCGGUAAGGUGAUAUGAACCGUUAUAACCGGCGAUACCCGAAUGGGGAAACCCAGUGUGAUUCGUCACACUAUCAUUAACUGAAUCCAUAGGUUAAUGAGGCGAACCGGGGGAACUGAAACAUCUAAGUACCCCGAGGAAAAGAAAUCAACCGAGAUUCCCCCAGUAGCGGCGAGCGAACGGGGAGGAGCCCAGAGCCUGAAUCAGCAUGUGUGUUAGUGGAAGCGUCUGGAAAGGCGCGCGAUACAGGGUGACAGCCCCGUACACAAAAGCGUAUGUGCUGUGAGCUCGAUGAGUAGGGCGGGACACGUGGUAUCCUGUCUGAAUAUGGGGGGACCAUCCUCCAAGGCUAAAUACUCCUGACUGACCGAUAGUGAACCAGUACCGUGAGGGAAAGGCGAAAAGAACCCCGGCGAGGGGAGUGAAAAAGAACCUGAAACCGUGUACGUACAAGCAGUGGGAGCACCCUUUGGGGUGUGACUGCGUACCUUUUGUAUAAUGGGUCAGCGACUUAUAUUCUGUAGCAAGGUUAACCGAAUAGGGGAGCCGGAGGGAAACCGAGUCUUAAUUGGGCGUUAAGUUGCAGGGUAUAGACCCGAAACCCGGUGAUCUAGCCAUGGGCAGGUUGAAGGUUGGGUAACACUAACUGGAGGACCGAACCGACUAAUGUUGAAAAAUUAGCGGAUGACCUGUGGCUGGGGGUGAAAGGCCAAUCAAACCGGGAGAUAGCUGGUUCUCCCCGAAAGCUAUUUAGGUAGCGCCUCGUGAAUUCAUCUCCGGGGGUAGAGCACUGUUUCGGCUAGGGGGUCAUCCCGACUUACCAACCCGAUGCAAACUGCGAAUACCGGAGAAUGUUAUCACGGGAGACACACGGCGGGUGCUAACGUCCGUCGUGAAGAGGGAAACAACCCAGACCGCCAGCUAAGGUCCCAAAGUCAUGGUUAAGUGGGAAACGAUGUGGGAAGGCCCAGACAGCCAGGAUGUUGGCUUAGAAGCAGCCAUCAUUUAAAGAAAGCGUAAUAGCUCACUGGUCGAGUCGGCCUGCGCGGAAGAUGUAACGGGGCUAAACCAUGCACCGAAGCUGCGGCAGCGACACUCAGGUGUUGUUGGGUAGGGGAGCGUUCUGUAAGCCUGUGAAGGUGGCCUGUGAGGGUUGCUGGAGGUAUCAGAAGUGCGAAUGCUGACAUAAGUAACGAUAAAGCGGGUGAAAAGCCCGCUCGCCGGAAGACCAAGGGUUCCUGUCCAACGUUAAUCGGGGCAGGGUGAGUCGACCCCUAAGGCGAGGCCGAAAGGCGUAGUCGAUGGGAAACGGGUUAAUAUUCCCGUACUUGGUGUUACUGCGAAGGGGGGACGGAGAAGGCUAUGUUGGCCGGGCGACGGUUGUCCCGGUUUAAGCGUGUAGGUGUGUGUUCCAGGUAAAUCCGGUUCACUUUAACACUGAGGCGUGAUGACGAGGCACUACGGUGCUGAAGCAACAAAUGCCCUGCUUCCAGGAAAAGCCUCUAAGCAUCAGGUAACAUCAAAUCGUACCCCAAACCGACACAGGUGGUCAGGUAGAGAAUAUCAAGGCGCUUGAGAGAACUCGGGUGAAGGAACUAGGCAAAAUGGUGCCGUAACUUCGGGAGAAGGCACGCUGACACGUAGGUGAAGUGAUUUACUCAUGGAGCUGAAGUCAGUCGAAGAUACCAGCUGGCUGCAACUGUUUAUUAAAAACACAGCACUGUGCAAACACGAAAGUGGACGUAUACGGUGUGACGCCUGCCCGGUGCCGGAAGGUUAAUUGAUGGGGUCAGCGCAAGCGAAGCUCCUGAUCGAAGCCCCGGUAAACGGCGGCCGUAACUAUAACGGUCCUAAGGUAGCGAAAUUCCUUGUCGGGUAAGUUCCGACCUGCACGAAUGGCGUAAUGAUGGCCAGGCUGUCUCCACCCGAGACUCAGUGAAAUUGAACUCGCUGUGAAGAUGCAGUGUACCCGCGGCAAGACGGAAAGACCCCGUGAACCUUUACUAUAGCUUGACA